CCCCCUCUCUCACUCCUUCGUCUCUCUCAAACUCAGAGACCGGUUCCCAUGGAAAAACCCUAGCCGCCACCCCACCCCUUCGCUUGAAAGCCGGCGGCAACGACGCCGCUGGCCAUGAAAUUAACACCCCUGAACCACCAUGAUCCCCUCUCUCCAAAUCCACACUCAGCUUACCUCGAAUCUUCCCCGAACGUCUCGGAUCUUCAUUUGAAGGUUCGAGCAAAAACCUGAUCUACACCAACCGACCCCAAAUUUACACCAGUCACUCCCCUGACCUCACUCGUAACCAAACCAAGCUUGGUUGGGUUCGAAUCUAGGUAGAAUCCUUCGAGCCCCAAAUCGGACCGUGGGAACCCUAGAACUCAAAACCAUGGGGGUCUGUCCAGUUUAAAGGAAGAAUUGGGGUCUAAUAGACCUUAAUCGAGGUGUUCUCAGUUGAGGACACUUCAAUUAAAGUCCGUUCGACCUCAAAGAGGUCGAGUCCAGUUCGAGCAUGGGUUAUUUUUGUUCUUAAGCUUCUGAGGUAAUUUUUCCUUUCCUAUUUGUUCCGUUGGUGUUUGUUUAUAUCUGUUUUUUUUUGUUGUUUAAGGUGGUUUUAUUAAUUUUUCAAUUUUUGUCAAUUGAUCCCUGUGUCUAUCAAUAUGAAAUCACCUCUGUACUUGUUCGAGUCUAAUUAUUUGUUGUCGAUUGUAUGUGUUGUGAUUCGCGCAGUCGAUUCGAUAUAUGUCGUUGAUUAGUUUUACAGUCUUGAAUGUAGUAAUUUGAUCCAUCCUGCUUAAUUCUGAUUAAGUCAUUUGUCUGAAUUCAGUUGCGAACUGGUUAUAGGUUGUAGUUUGUUGGAUAGUUAGGGUCCAAUUGUUAGUUAGCUAAGUUUGAAUUGGUUAUAGCUGAAGAGAUUAAUACAGAUUGAAACAGGUGGGUAAGGCAGCAGUUUCAGGGACUUUUAAGAGGGUAUUUUUUUGAUUUUAAAGGAGUCUGAAAAUGGCUUAAUUUGAAUGGCUGUCAAUAGAGUAUUAAAAUACCAUUAAACUGAUACAUUGUUUAAGAAUAAUGGGGAAUAAGACUUAAUGACAUGGGGAGGUUGAUUAAAAUAAGUUAAAAUACCCAUAACUUUGAUUCAAAAGAGAAAAACAUGCGGUAUGGGGGCUGUCAAGAAUAUCAUGGGCAUUUUCUGAUUAGUUUUAGUAUGUUUAAGGGGUAUGGGCAGAGUUAAGGUCUGAAGGUAUCAAGGCAGCCCGGGGCUUGCCUACUUUGCCUAUAAAUAGGCUCAUUUAGAACAAAAUAGAGGUUGGUUUUUUGAUCCUGAGAAGCCAGAGAAAAGCAAGAGUGUUGAAGCUGGAGAUUUAACCUAAAACUCUAGAGAAAUAGAGGGAGUAGGCUAAAAAAAAUUACACUAAAGUUCAGUGGGUUUGAGAUUUAAAGAAGAAAAAUCUGCUUCCCUUUUACUGUUGAAAUCGGUAUUUACCUUUGUUACUGUUUCAUUGAGAGCUGUGGGAAUUUUCUGAAAGUCUGCUGGUCCAUCUCUUGUUGCAAACUCAAGUUUUGGUCAUAUUGUGGGUGUUUAUAUUGCUGUUGGUAUUUGGGUUGCAUUCUUGGAUUUUCUGGUGCAUUUGAUGCUGCUGUUUGGUGUUUUCUGAAGUUACUGUUGGGUUUUAAUCUAUUGCUGGGCUAUUUUAGCUACUGUUGUUGCUAUUUUGUUGUUUGCUACUGCCGCUGAUCCUCACCUUCCUCUGUUCUUGUUUCCAAUACCAGGUACACGACUUUAACAUGGCUGUUGUAAGCUGAAAAUGUGAAGCAUGAAUUCAUGUGAAAAGUUGAAGUUGAAAUGAAAACCAGAAAAGCAAUCUGUUUGUUUGAAACUUGUUGUUACUGUUUUAUUAAGUUCCUUAAAGCAUUAUUGAUUCUGUAAUUUGUAAAAAAAAUAGUCUCGUCAUUUUAGUUGUUUGUAAUGGGCUGCAGAAAACUGCUAUGCGUUAGAUCAUGUUAUUGGAAUAACGUAGUUUAGCACGUAUUCAAUCAGAACUUGACCAUGUAAUGGAUGUUGGAUAUAACUUUCGAUAAUUUGUAAAAUAGCACUUGUGGUUUGAUCCCUGAAAUAUCUAGUAGGUUGUUAACUAAUCUUGGAUUAUAGCAUGAUUGUUUGAGUUCUUGGUCAACUAGAUCUUAGCAUUAAUCUUACC
RNAcentral lists this long non-coding RNA (2180 nucleotides) under Nicotiana tabacum (common tobacco). RNAcentral's name for it is "long non-coding RNA (NTAB_LNC017576)". The record is from RNAcentral. Lineage: Eukaryota; Viridiplantae; Streptophyta; Magnoliopsida; Solanales; Solanaceae.